GGACUAAGAAGGGCUUGGAGAAGGUGAAGACUUACAGGGAAUUUUCUGGGAUGUGGGACUUUCAGCAUAAACCGUAGAAAUUCUCAGGUAACUCUAGAUGAGUUAGUCAUCCUUGAUGACUGUCAUUAUCUCUUCUCAAAGGAUGACUAGGAGUUUGGGGAAGACCAUUCUAGAUCAAAGGGCAACAUGAACAAAAGCAAGGAGGAGAGAAACAGCAUGAGAGGUUCUAGGAGAACUGGAAGCAAUGUAGAGUUGCUGGAGGACACAGUAUGUGACAGUGCUGGGGAAAAUGAGGCAGAGGGUCAGACAAGAGGCAGACUGGGAAGAGUUUUGAAAAUCAUCUUAAGGAGCAUGGGAGCCUUUUAGGCAACUGAGCAACUGAUGGCAAAGACUGAAAGCCACAAGGCUCCGAAGGCUCCCCCGUUCUUGGCAUGGUGUGUCUGUUCUCCAGGCGCUCUCCUGGGUCUCUGGCAAUCUGCUCUCUGCUAAUUGGUGCAGAUGGGAGUAGGAAGGUGAACAGAGCACACGGGGGAGGAAGCAGAUUCUCCCGGAAGACUGAAUGACAUGAUAGAUCUAAAAUACCUCAUCCAUGGAUACAAGAGAAUUUUUAUAGCUUCCCCUGGAAGACAAUUAACAGGAUUUAAAAGGACGCAUGGAAACCCUACAGUAACAGAUGCACCCACAAAGCCAUGAUAAACACACUAGUUUAAAAUGAUGCUGGAAGAGUUUUAGGUUAAUUCCACAAUGGCUGUAGCAUCCUCUGCCCAGGAAGAGGAAAUGCCAGCUCCAAGAAUUACUGCUGCUGAUUACAACAUGGAAGAAACUUAAACUGUCAAGUGACAAGAAAGCUAUACAUCAAAGGAUGGUAUUGAGAAUAAACUUUGACAGCAAUACAAGAAAGGACAUUCAUUCAAAGGAACACCUAUGGUUUCUUCAUCGCAUAACAUAGAAGUAGGAGAACUCAAAAUCCGAUCCAAAAGCCACAGAGGCAGUCUGAGCUUAGUGAAGGGCCAGACAUGGUCGGGCUCCUUUGUUUCUCCAUAAGGUUCUGGCCAGGAACCAUCAAACUAGUGGCUUCCUAUCCUUGCUCUUCAAUUUCCCCAUUUAUAGCGCUGGACCCAAGGGGUCCUCUCCUUGCAUUGAAAACCUAAAAGGCUUACUUGAUCUUUCCAGAGCCCUAUGGCAUCCUCGGAUGCAACACAUCAUAGACAGUGGUCAGUAUUAUCACUUCAGGUGUGCAGCUCCAAUGGCCUUGACACUCAGGAUGCUUUGCAGAGUUGUGUGUUGACAGGUAUGGGAGCAAGUCAAGUACAAAGUGAUCUGAGACACCCCAGUGAGAUGGGCAAUGUCCAUGUGUCCAUCCUCCUGAUAGAAGCCAGAAUGAGUUGCUUCUGUGUCAUAAGAAGGCCCGUCUCAAACUUGAAGGAUGGUGGCCAGGUGUGCUGUCAAGGGUGUAC
Canis lupus familiaris (dog) is the source of this 1457-nucleotide long non-coding RNA. RefSeq lists it as uncharacterized. The transcript is spliced from 5 exons. NCBI's taxonomy places the organism in Eukaryota, Metazoa, Chordata, Mammalia, Carnivora, Canidae. The record is from RefSeq and is a predicted model, not a curated record.